Molecule: ribosomal RNA, 382 nt
Filed under: marine Metazoa environmental sample
Lineage: Eukaryota; Metazoa
Description: SSU rRNA
Rfam family: Eukaryotic small subunit ribosomal RNA
Source: RNAcentral
AGCUCCAAUAGCGUAUAUUAAAGUUGUUGCAGUUAAAAAGCUCGUAGUUGGAUCUCAGAUCCAGGCUUGCGGUCCACUCCUUGGUGGCUACUGCUCGUCCUGAUCUACCUCCCGGUUUUACCCUUGGUGCUCUUGAUUGAGUGUCUCGGGUGGCCGGAACAUUUACUUUGAAAAAAUUAGAGUGUUCAAAGCAGGCAGCUCGCCUGAAUAAUGGUGCAUGGAAUAAUGGAAUAGGACCUCGGUUCUAUUUUGUUGGUUUUCGGAACUUGAGGUAAUGAUUAAGAGGGACAGACGGGGGCAUUCGUAUUACGGUGUGAGAGGUGAAAUUCUUGGAUCGCCGUAAGACGAACUACUGCGAAAGCAUUUGCCAAGAAUGUUUUCA